GGAAUGCCUCUGCACCUCGUCGGUCAGGACCUGUAGCUCACGAAUGUGCAAAGUCAGGCCAGCCAAUGAGUCAGUUUGGACAGAGCAGCUCCCCUGGCCGAAGAGGAGCAGCUCAACAGGGUAUGCAUGAGGAUUAAGAUGGAAGCAAGGAACUCACCAUCACACACUGACACUCACUGACCUUUGUUCUCCUGAGCCAUGCGCAGCGCCUGCAACGAUGUCCGCGGGCUGAUCUCCAGCUGGCACACCAGAAUUUUUGCGCGACGGAUGGCUG
Long non-coding RNA from Sebastes umbrosus (honeycomb rockfish), 274 nucleotides. RefSeq lists it as uncharacterized. NCBI's taxonomy places the organism in Eukaryota, Metazoa, Chordata, Actinopteri, Perciformes, Sebastidae. The record is from RefSeq and is a predicted model, not a curated record. The transcript has 3 exons.